Molecule: small RNA, 125 nt
Filed under: Marmota monax (woodchuck)
Lineage: Eukaryota; Metazoa; Chordata; Mammalia; Rodentia; Sciuridae
Source: RNAcentral
GCCAGGGGAGGUGGGGCACGCCUGUAAUCCCAGCAGCUCUGGAGGCUGAGGCAGGAGGAUCGUGAGUUCAAAGCCAGCCUCAGCAAAAGUGAGGCUCUAAGCAACUCAGUGAGGCCCUGUCUCUA